Molecule: transfer RNA, 76 nt
Filed under: Cryomorphaceae bacterium
Lineage: Bacteria; Pseudomonadati; Bacteroidota; Flavobacteriia; Flavobacteriales; Cryomorphaceae
Description: tRNA-Gly
Rfam family: tRNA
About the family: Transfer RNA (tRNA) molecules are approximately 80 nucleotides in length. Their secondary structure includes four short double-helical elements and three loops (D, anti-codon, and T loops).
Source: RNAcentral
GCGAAAGUAGCUCAGCUGGUAGAGCAUCAGCCUUCCAAGCUGAGGGUCGCGGGUUCGAAUCCCGUCUUUCGCUCAA